Molecule: ribosomal RNA, 417 nt
Filed under: uncultured bacterium
Lineage: Bacteria
Description: partial 16S ribosomal RNA
Rfam family: Bacterial small subunit ribosomal RNA
Source: RNAcentral
AAUAUGGGCAAACGGACACAACUCUGAACCAGCCACGUCACGUGAAGGGUUACUGCCCUACCGGCUGUACACCUCUUUUAUUCAGGAAUAACGUGAGUCCCGUGUGACGUACUGCAAGUACUGUAUGAAUAAGGCUCGGCUAACUCCGUGCCAGCCGCCGCGGUAAUACGGAGGAUCCAAGCGUUACCCGGAUUUAUUGGGUUUAAAGGGUGCGCAGGCGGAAGAUUAAGUCGGCGGUGAGAUUUUGCAGCUCAACUGUAAAAGUGCCAUCGAUACGGGUUUUCUUGAGUGAGGAUGAAGUAGGCGGAAUUUGUGGUGUAGCGGGGAAAUGCAUAGAUACCACGCGGAACUCCGAUUGCGCAGGCAGCUUACUAGGCCAUAACUGACGCUCAGGCACGAAGGCGUGGGGAUCAAACA